This 490-nucleotide ribosomal RNA is filed under the name uncultured bacterium. Its description in RNAcentral is "partial 16S ribosomal RNA". It matches the Rfam family "Bacterial small subunit ribosomal RNA", at positions 30 to 507 of the family's 1533-position model. The record is from RNAcentral.
AUUGAACGCUGGCGGCAGGCCUAACACAUGCAAGUCGAACGGUAACAGGAAGCAGCUUGCUGCUUUGCUGACGAGUGGCGGACGGGUGAGUAAUGUCUGGGAAACUGCCUGAUGGAGGGGGAUAACUACUGGAAACGGUAGCUAAUACAGCAUAACGUCGCAAGACCAAAGAGGGGGACCUUCGGGCCUCUUGCCAUCGGAUGUGCCCAGAUGGGAUUAGCUAGUAGGUGGGGUAACGGCUCACCUAGGCGACGAUCCCUAGCUGGUCUGAGAGGAUGACCAGCCACACUGGAACUGAGACACGGUCCAGACUCCUACGGGAGGCAGCAGUGGGGAAUAUUGCACAAUGGGCGCAAGCCUGAUGCAGCCAUGCCGCGUGUAUGAAGAAGGCCUUCGGGUUGUAAAGUACUUUCAGCGGGGAGGAAGGGAGUAAAGUUAAUACCUUUGCUCAUUGACGUUACCCGCAGAAGAAGCACCGGCUAACUCCGUG